RNAcentral lists this ribosomal RNA (497 nucleotides) under uncultured bacterium. RNAcentral's name for it is "partial 16S ribosomal RNA". It matches the Rfam family "Bacterial small subunit ribosomal RNA", at positions 28 to 507 of the family's 1533-position model. The record is from RNAcentral.
GAUGAACGCUGGCGGCGUGCCUAAUACAUGCAAGUCGAGCGAAAAGGCGAGAAGCUUGCGUAUCUGAGGUUAGCGGCGGACGGGAGAGUAACACGUGGAUAACCUACCUAUAAGACUGGGAUAACUUCGGGAAACCGGAGCUAAUACCGGAGAAUAUUUUGAACGGCAGGGUUCAAAAGUGAAAGACGGUCUUGGUGUGACUUAUAGAUGGAUCCGCGCUGCAUGAGGUAGUUGGUAAGGUAACGACUUACUAAGGGAACGAUGGAUAGACGACCUGAGAGGCGGGUCGGCCGCCUUGGAGGUGUAACACGCACAAGGCUCCUACGAGACGGCGCAGUAGCGAACCUUCGGCAACGGUCGAAAGCCUGACGGAGCAGGGCGGCGUCUGUGACGGCGGUGCUCGGAUCGUAAAACUCGCUUUCGGGGGAAAAACAUAUUUGUACGGUACUGUGCAGUGAUUGACGGUAACGGAUAAGGAAGCCACGGCUAACUACGUG